GGGACCCCAGGUCANGCGGGACUACCCGCUGAGUUUAAGCAU
Molecule: ribosomal RNA, 42 nt
Filed under: Sempervivum montanum
Lineage: Eukaryota; Viridiplantae; Streptophyta; Magnoliopsida; Saxifragales; Crassulaceae
Description: partial 26S ribosomal RNA
Source: RNAcentral